RNAcentral lists this ribosomal RNA (253 nucleotides) under uncultured bacterium. RNAcentral's name for it is "partial 16S ribosomal RNA". It matches the Rfam family "Bacterial small subunit ribosomal RNA", at positions 524 to 776 of the family's 1533-position model. The record is from RNAcentral.
GACGAACCGUCCGAACGUUAUUCGGAAUCACUGGGCUUAAAGGGUGCGUAGGCGGCGCGGAAAGUUGGGUGUGAAAUCCCUCGGCUCAACCGAGGAACUGCGCCCAAAACUACCGUGCUCGAGGGAGAUAGAGGUGAGCGGAACUUAGGGUGGAGCGGUGAAAUGCGUUGAUAUCCUAAGGAACACCGGUGGCGAAAGCGGCUCACUGGAUCUCUUCUGACGCUGAGGCACGAAAGCGUGGGUAGCAAACACG